UUUUUUAGAUUUUAGUGGCGGACGGGUGAGUAAUACGUAGGCAACCUGCCUAGAAGAGGGGGAUAACACUCAGAAAUGGGUGCUAAUACCGCAUAAGACCACAGUGUCGCAUGACACAGAGGUCAAAGGAGCAAUCCGCUUUUAGAUGGGCCUGCGGCUGAUUAGUUAGUUGGUAAGGUAACGGCUUACCAAGACGAUGAUCAGUAGCCGAGCUGAGAGGCUGGCCGGCCACAUUGGGACUGAGACACGGCCCAGACUCCUACGGGAGGCAGCAGUCGGGAAUAUUGGACAAUGGAGGAAACUCUGAUCCAGUGACGCCGCGUGAAGGAAGAAGGUCUUCGGAUUGUAAACUUAUUUUGUCAGGGAAGAAGCAAGUGACUGUACCUGAAGAAAAAGCACCGGCAAACUACGUGCCAGCAGCCGCGGUAAUACGUAGGGUGCAAGCGUUAUCCGGAAUUACUGGGUGUAAAGGGCGAGUAGACGGUUAUCUAAGUCGGUUGUGAAAACUUAGUGCUCAACAUUAAGCGUGCAACCGAAACUAGACUACUAGAGUGCAGGAGAGGAAAAUGGAAUUCCUAGUGUAGCGGUGAAAUGCGUAGAUAUUAGGAGGAACACCAGUGGCGAAGGCGAUUUUCUGGACUGUAACUGACGUUGAGGAGCGAAAGUGUGGGGAGCAAACAGGAUUAGAUACCCUGGUAGUCCACACUGUAAACGAUGGAUACUAGGUGUAGGCACGCAAGUGUCUGUGCCGCCGCAAACGCAAUAAGUAUCCCACCUGAGGAGUACGGCCGCAAGGUUGAAACUCAAAGAAAUUGACGGGGGCCCGCACAAGCAGUGGAGUAUGUGGUUUAAUUCGACGCAACGCGAAGAACCUUACCAAAACUUGACAUGGAGAGGAAUAACAUGGAAGCAUGUUAGUCUUCGGACCUCUUCACAGGUGAUGCAUGGUUGUCGUCAGCUCGUGUCGUGAGAUGUUGGGUUAAGUCCCGCAACGAGCGCAACCCUCGUGAUUAGUUGCUACUAUUAAGUUAGGGAACUCUAAUCAGACUGCCGUAGAUAAUACGGAGGAAGGUGAGGAUGAUGUCAAAUCAUCACGUCCCUUAUGUUUUGGGCUACACACGUACUACAAUGGGUAUAACAGAAAGAAGCGAAACCGCGAGGUGGAGCAAACCUAAGAAAAGUACCCCUAGUUCGGAUUGGAGGCUGCAACCCGCCUCCAUGAAGCUGGAAUUGCUAGUAAUCACAGGUCAGCAUACUGUGGUGAAUACGUUCCCGGGCCUUGCACACACCGCCCGUCA
Molecule: ribosomal RNA, 1298 nt
Filed under: uncultured bacterium
Lineage: Bacteria
Description: bacterial SSU rRNA
Rfam family: Bacterial small subunit ribosomal RNA
Source: RNAcentral